CGGAGGGUGCGAGCGUUGUCCGGAAUCACUGGGCGUAAAGGGCGCGUAGGUGGCGCCGCAAGUCAACGGUGAAAGCUCAGCGCUCAACGCCGAGUCGGCCGUCGAGACUGCGGGGCUCGAGCACUGUAGAGGCAGAUGGAAUUCCGGGUGUAGCGGUGGAAUGCGUAGAGAUCCGGAAGAACACCGGUGGCGAAGGCGGUCUGCUGGGCAGUAGCUGACACUGAGGCGCGACAGCGUGGGGAGCAAACAGGAUUAGAUACCCUGGUAGUCCACGCCGUAAACGAUGGGCACUAGGUGCUUGGGGGAGCGACCCUCUGAGUGCCGACGCUAACGCAUUAAGUGCCCCGCCUGGGGAGUACGGCCGCAAGGCUG
RNAcentral lists this ribosomal RNA (372 nucleotides) under uncultured organism. Its description in RNAcentral is "bacterial SSU rRNA". It matches the Rfam family "Bacterial small subunit ribosomal RNA", at positions 526 to 896 of the family's 1533-position model. The record is from RNAcentral.